CUUGGUCAUUUAGAGGAAGUAAAAGUCGUAACAAGGUCUCCGUAGGUGAACCUGCGGAGGGAUCAUUACACAAAUAUGAAGGCGGGCUGGAACCUCUCGGGGUUACAGCCUUGCUGAAUUAUUCACCCUUGUCUUUUGCGUACUUCUUGUUUCCUUGGUGGGUUCGCCCACCACUAGGACAAACAUAAACCUUUUGUAAUUGCAAUCAGCGUCAGUAACAAAUUAAUAAUUACAACUUUCAACAACGGAUCUCUUGGUUCUGGCAUCGAUGAAGAACGCAGCGAAAUGCGAUAAGUAGUGUGAAUUGCAGAAUUCAGUGAAUCAUCGAAUCUUUGAACGCACAUUGCGCCCCUUGGUAUUCCAUGGGGCAUGCCUGUUCGAGCGUCAUUUGUACCUUCAAGCUCUGCUUGGUGUUGGGUGUUUUGUCUCGCCUCCGCGCGCAGACUCGCCUUAAAACAAUUGGCAGCCGGCGUAUUGAUUUCGGAGCGCAGUACAUCUCGCGCUUUGCACUCAUAACGACGACGUCCAAAAGUACAUUUUUACACUCUUGACCUCGGAUCAGGUAGGGAUACCCGCUGAACUUAAGCAUAUCAAUAAGCGGAG
RNAcentral lists this ribosomal RNA (603 nucleotides) under uncultured fungus. RNAcentral describes it as "eukaryotic LSU rRNA". The stretch from base 234 to 387 matches the Rfam family "5.8S ribosomal RNA". The record is from RNAcentral. Lineage: Eukaryota; Fungi.